UCUGUGUCUAGUCAGCAUGGAAUAACAAGGAUCUGAUUUACUCUCCCACCUGAAACAACUAAAAAACUGAGCAAAAUGUAGGAGACCAGAGCAUUCAAGAUACUGACACUAGGCCACCAAGGACAGUGAUCUCUGAGAGAUGGGAAACAAAUGAGAAGAAGCAUUUUUCCUCUAAUGCUUGAAUUCAAAUUUCUUGACACGGAGUUUCUUCAGUGCAGAGCCAGCACCAUCAAAGUCAUUUGCGACAAGUUUCCACAGGGAUUGGGCAAGAGGACACUUGAGUAAUGCUACCCUCUAAGAUAUGCGAAGUAUUCCUUCAUACCAACUCUCACCCAGCAUCAGAGGAUGCUAUUCAUCCACCUCAAAGCAAUUCCUGGAAAGGAGGGACUUGGCCUUAAGUUGGCAAAGACGUUUACCCAGGUCGCCCUGGAAGAGUGCAUGAUAUUCGUCGUCCUAAAAAGUACGGAAAUAAAGCAGGCUUGUCUUUUCC
Canis lupus familiaris (dog) is the source of this 490-nucleotide long non-coding RNA. RefSeq lists it as uncharacterized. Lineage: Eukaryota; Metazoa; Chordata; Mammalia; Carnivora; Canidae. The record is from RefSeq and is a predicted model, not a curated record. The transcript has 4 exons.